GAGGGUACAGCUCAGUGGUAGAGUGUGUGCUUAGUAUGCACAGGGUCCUGGGUUCAAUCCCUGGCGCCUCCA
This 72-nucleotide transfer RNA is filed under the name Camelus ferus (Wild Bactrian camel). It matches the Rfam family "tRNA". From Rfam's summary of the family: Transfer RNA (tRNA) molecules are approximately 80 nucleotides in length. Their secondary structure includes four short double-helical elements and three loops (D, anti-codon, and T loops). The record is from Rfam by way of RNAcentral. Lineage: Eukaryota; Metazoa; Chordata; Mammalia; Artiodactyla; Camelidae.